AUUGAACGCUGGCGGCAUGCCUUACACAUGCAAGUCGAACGGCAGCACGGGUGCUUGCACCUGGUGGCGAGUGGCGAACGGGUGAGUAAUACAUCGGAACAUGUCCUGUAGUGGGGGAUAGCCCGGCGAAAGCCGGAUUAACACCGCAUACGAUCUACGGCUGAAAGCGGGGGCCCUUCGGGCCUCGCGCUAGCGGGUUGGCCGAUGGCUGAUUAGCUAGUUGGUGGGGUAAAGGCCUACCAAGGCGACGAUCAGUAGCUGGUCUGAGAGGACGACCAGCCACACUGGGACUGAGACACGGCCCAGACUCCUACGGGAGGCAGCAGUGGGGAAUUUUGGACAAUGGGCGAAAGCCUGAUCCAGCAAUGCCGCGUGUGUGAAGAAGGCCUUCGGGUUGUAAAGCACUUUUGUCCGGAAAGAAAUCCUUGGCCCUAAUACGGUCGGGGGAUGACGGUACCGGAAGAAUAAGCACCGGCUAACUACGUG
RNAcentral lists this ribosomal RNA (486 nucleotides) under uncultured bacterium. Its description in RNAcentral is "partial 16S ribosomal RNA". It matches the Rfam family "Bacterial small subunit ribosomal RNA", at positions 30 to 507 of the family's 1533-position model. The record is from RNAcentral.